Molecule: ribosomal RNA, 497 nt
Filed under: uncultured bacterium
Lineage: Bacteria
Description: partial 16S ribosomal RNA
Rfam family: Bacterial small subunit ribosomal RNA
Source: RNAcentral
GAUGAACGCUGGCGGCGUGCCUAAUACAUGCCAGUCGAGCGAACGGACGAGAAGCUUGCUUCUCUGAUGUUAGCGGCGGACGGGUGAGUAACACGUGGAUAACCUACCUAUAAGACUGGGAUAACUUCGGGAAACCGGAGCUAAUACCGGAUGAGAUUUUGAACCGCAUGGUUCAAAAGUGAAAGACGGUCUUGCUGUCACUUAUAGAUGGAUCCGCGCUGCAUUAGCUAGUUGGUAAGGUAACGGCUUACCAAGGCAACGAUGCAUAGCCGAACUGAGAGGGUGAUCGGCCACACUGGAACGGGGACACGGUCCAGACUCCUACGGGAGGCAGCAGUCGGGUAUCUGCCGCAGUAGGCGAAAGCCUGACGGAGCAACGCCACGUGAGUGAUGAAGGUCUUCGGAUCGUAAAACUCUGUUAUGAGGGAAGAACAUAUGUGUAAGUAACUGUGCACAUCUUGACGGUACCUAAUCAGAAAGCAACGGCUAACUACGUG